ACUGGUGAUUAUUGCGAGAAUUCCCCACCCGAUCCCAUCUCGAACUCGGUCGUUAAGGUUCUCUGCGCCGAUGGUACUGCGUCUUAAGGCGUGGGAGAGUAGGUCGUUGCCAGUU
Molecule: ribosomal RNA, 115 nt
Organism: Hirschia baltica ATCC 49814
Lineage: Bacteria; Pseudomonadati; Pseudomonadota; Alphaproteobacteria; Hyphomonadales; Hyphomonadaceae
Source: Rfam